This 71-nucleotide transfer RNA is filed under the name Bifidobacterium bombi DSM 19703. It matches the Rfam family "tRNA". From Rfam's summary of the family: Transfer RNA (tRNA) molecules are approximately 80 nucleotides in length. Lineage: Bacteria; Bacillati; Actinomycetota; Actinomycetes; Bifidobacteriales; Bifidobacteriaceae. The record is from Rfam by way of RNAcentral.
GCGGAUGUAGCUCAAUGGUAGAGCCUCAGCCUUCCAAGCUGAUUACGCGGGUUCGAUUCCCGUCAUCCGCU